RNAcentral lists this ribosomal RNA (460 nucleotides) under uncultured bacterium. RNAcentral describes it as "partial 16S ribosomal RNA". It matches the Rfam family "Bacterial small subunit ribosomal RNA", at positions 338 to 795 of the family's 1533-position model. The record is from RNAcentral.
CCUACGGGUGGCUGCAGUGAGGAAUAUUGGUCAAUGGACGAGAGUCUGAACCAGCCAAGUAGCGUGAAGGAUGACUGCCCUAUGGGUUGUAAACUUCUUUUAUAUGGGAAUAAAACGUUCAACGUGUGGGAUUUUGUAUGUACCAUAUGAAUAAGGAUCGGCUAACUCCGUGCCAGCAGCCGCGGUAAUAAGGAGGAUCCGAGCGUUAUCCGGAUUUAUUGGGGUUAAAGGGAGCGUAGGUGGAUUGUUAAGUCAGUUGUGAAAGUUUGCUGCUCAACCGUAAAAUUGCAGUUGAAACUGGCAGUCUUGAGUACAGUAGAGGUGGGCGGAAUUCGUGGUGUAGCGGUGAAAUGCUUAGAUAUCACGAAGAACUCCGAUUGCGAAGGCAGUUCACUGGACUGCAACUGACACUGAGGCUCGAAAGUGUGGGUAUCAAACAGGAUUAGAUACCCGUGUAGUC